AACGAACGCUGGCGGCAUGCCUAACACAUGCAAGUCGAACGAAGCCUUCGGGCUUAGUGGCGCACGGGUGCGUAACGCGUGGGAAUCUGCCCUUGGGUUCGGAAUAACAGUUAGAAAUGACUGCUAAUACCGAACGAUGUCUUCGGACCAAAGAUUUAUCGCCCAAGGAUGAGCCCGCGUCGGAUUAGCUAGUUGGUGAGGUAAAGGCUCACCAAGGCGACGAUCCGUAGCUGGUCUGAGAGGAUGAUCAGCCACACUGGGACUGAGACACGGCCCAGACUCCUACGGGAGGCAGCAGUGGGGAAUCUUGGACAAUGGGCGCAAGCCUGAUCCAGCCAUGCCGCGUGAGUGAAGAAGGCCUUAGGGUUGUAAAACUCUUUCGCCGGUGAAGAUAAUGACGGUAACCGGAGAAGAAGCCCCGGCUAACUUCGUGCCAGCAGCCGCGGUAAU
This 450-nucleotide ribosomal RNA is filed under the name uncultured bacterium. Its description in RNAcentral is "bacterial SSU rRNA". It matches the Rfam family "Bacterial small subunit ribosomal RNA", at positions 29 to 524 of the family's 1533-position model. The record is from RNAcentral.